GUACAGUUGCAGCCUCGUCCAGUACAGUCUCACUGACAUCUGUCUCACACACCAACAACCUAACUACACCACUUCAAGAUGUCUCCACCGUCCUGCCUCUCACUGCUGACAGUAACACUAAUCGCCUUUCUUCCAAAUGGAGCAGUAGUCCACUGACUGGUGGCAGCAUCUUUGGUAUCACUCUGGCUGUGGUGUUGGUGGCAGCCAUUUUUGGAUACACAGCUUACACCUACUUGAAGAAGAAACCAAAACUUGCUGGAUACGGCAGCACUCUCCACUUCCAGAAUGCUCUGUAUUCCACUAGAGAAAACAUAAGCAUCACAGAGCCACUGGGUGCCGAGGCCACCAUUGAUAUAGAAGACGGUAGUGUUCGUACACAUGAAUAAGAAGCAAGCCAACAGUGUCCAGUUAUCAUUCCAUCAGAUUUUUGUUUACAAAUACUUUAAUGGAUAUAGAAAAAAGUAAUGAUUUAACACAAUAUGCAAUAAAAUGUGAACUAAUUUUAGGUGAUUAAAUUUAAUAUAAAGUGGAUGGUCCUUGGAUAUAGUAAAAGUUAUGACUUGUAAAGGAGUAAUUUCUACUUAACCUUUUAAGAGGGUAACUUAUUGUUUGAGAGCAAAAGAGGAAGAACUUAAUGGAUUCAAGAUGCACUGAAACUGACACUAGUCACUUACAGCUGCUCAAAGUUUUUCUUCACAAUUAGAGGUAAAUCAUUACCGUGGUUAACAAGAGGUAACUAGAGUCUUUUAUGAAGACCGUCUACCAAAUUAUGUUCAGGAUGCAAUGCUGCAUCACCCUUAUGGGUUUAGAAUUUAAUUUGAUUACAGUUUAAAUUUCAUUCAGGGAGCUCUCUGACCCAUACAUAUGGAAGACACUUGUGAACGUUUAGUCCCCUCAAGGGAGGUUCCUUGAUGCUGGCGAGGGGCUCUUGAUCCAAGGAAUUGAAUCUGCUCAAGUUCCCUGAAUUGAGUCUGAAUACCUUCCGACUCAAUUCAGGGAUCUGGAGCACAGAUCCAAUUCCCUAGAUCAAGAGCCCCUCACCAUCAUCAAGGAACCUUCCCAGAAAGUGUGUUAACUUGGUAGAGGGUCACACAAGGUAUGGAGAAUGGGUGGUAAUCAGCUUUGGUCUGAGGAAUGGGAGUAUAGCUCCCAUUCCUUACAUCAAAAUACCUUUUACCAGCAUAAAGUUGCCUCCUCUACCUUUGAAGGCAACAGUGGCAGCUGUAACUGCUCCUGCUGUGCCCCUUCCACCCCAGCUGUAACUGCUCUUUUCCCUCCCCAGCUACUGUUGCUUGUUUAUUAUUUUAAGAAGGAUAAUGUAACUCAAGCAUACAAAUAACAUUUAAUAAAGAUCUGCUGAAACAUCUUUAUUUUCCUAUGCUAUCAGUGCAGGCAGUUAAGUGUCUUUUCUAAAUUUUUGAUACAACUGCUUUCAUAGCUAUUUUCUCACCUUAUGAACAAGCCUCCAACCUACAGUCUCAGAGCUGACUGGUUCAUCACUCGCUACCAGACUGUAGCCUACUGUCCAGUAGUCGGUGAUGCAUCAGUGAAUUGGAGAAUGCUGGUUCAAGGUUUAUCUGUGCCUUGAAAAA
Non-coding RNA from Cherax quadricarinatus, 1592 nucleotides. The record is from RefSeq and is a predicted model, not a curated record. NCBI's taxonomy places the organism in Eukaryota, Metazoa, Arthropoda, Malacostraca, Decapoda, Parastacidae.